UUCGGUGACCAUAGCGAGGGAGUCACACCCGUUCCCAUUCCGAACACGGAAGUUAAGCCCCUCAGCGGCGAUGGUACUUCCGCAUUAAGCGGUGGGAGAGUAGCUCGUUGCCGAUG
This 116-nucleotide ribosomal RNA is filed under the name uncultured bacterium AD249-B8. The record is from RNAcentral.